RNAcentral lists this long non-coding RNA (2109 nucleotides) under Anas platyrhynchos platyrhynchos (common mallard). RNAcentral describes it as "lncRNA (ENSAPLG00000026743.1)". The record is from RNAcentral. Lineage: Eukaryota; Metazoa; Chordata; Aves; Anseriformes; Anatidae.
CUGUGUUUGACUAAGAGCUUCACAACAGUUCCUUACCCUCCUGUCAUUAUCUCUAAAUGACUUUAGUCUAUCCUUUGUUUUAGAUUGUCCUUUGUUUUCCUCUUUACUGGAUGUUGCUGAGAAACCAUGUGUAGAUGUGCUGGGAUCUUCACAACAGGCUAGAUGCUUGCCUGCUGUCUCAUCGCCAAACUGGAUGUGGUCCCACCUCAACAGCGUGAGCACUGGGAAAGCAAACAAUCAGGAAGAACUUCUGUUCUCCCAAUCAUGGGCAGAGAGUUUUGAGACUGACAAGACCAAAUGGAAAAAGGACAUUUUAGAACUGGCGAGCUGGUAAUCAUGAGCAUAGUAUUUUGGAAGGAUUCCAGAGAUGACCUGUGACAGAAAAGUUUAUGCAGUAGACUAAAAUCCAAGAAUAUAUAAGGUCUGCAAAAUUAUUUUAAUUUAUGAUAAACAUUUUAAGUAAAACUGGGUUAUGCAUCCUGCUUUUACAAUGCAGAGUAGCUAUGAGGACCUAUUGCAUCUUAGAAGAUGAAACCUACAACUUUUUGUAUUCUUUGUUCACCCUGAAACAGAUAAAUUAACAUAUAAGAUAACAUAUAUAUCCAUUUGAGACAUAUUCACGUGUAACCCUUUUUUUUUUUUUCUUUUUUCCUGUAAUCUGAAUGGAGCUGCUAUGAAAAUGAUUGUCUUCAUAAACAGCAGCACAGACAUAUGGUGAAAUGGUGUUCCUGACCAACAGCACUGGUGAGGUUGGCACAAUUGGAAGAAAUAGUGCUUGCUAAUGGACUAAUUCUGCAGAGGCAGCAAAGAGUACAAAGCACUUCUUGUUUCUGUGAGCUCAACAAAAUAGAGCAAGAAAGCCUUACUUGGUUUAAAUAACACUGCAGUGGGUUAAUUAAAAAUGGAUAAGCAACGUCCAGCCAAUUCCUUCUACCUUAUUCUCCUCUCAGUUCAAAAUAAUGUUGUAAAAAAAUCAAUGUAUUAAUAUAAACAUGUUGAUUAAAUGCCUUUAUACUGCUGCUGGAAGCUAACUAAUAUGAUGGAGUUAAGAAAAAUGAGCAGUUAAUGAAGGAGAAGAAUUUCAUCAGUGAUGAUCUCUUCUCAGAGUCCUUUCUGUUUACAGAGAAGAUACUUUUAUACUGUGAGUUUUGAAGAAAGUGAAAAGCAAAGGGAGACUUCAAGUGCCUCCAGUUUUGGUACUUGAAUCUCAGGUUUGGGUAAUAAGAAGAAUGAAAUAUCAGAAAGCUGUGACCAUAUAUACAUGGUUGCAUGAAUACAAAGUCCAAGAAGGAAUGUCCUUCUUCUCCCCUCUGGAAUAAUUGCUAGGUUUUAAAUAUCUGAUGGACUCUAAUUGUGCCCUGUGGAAUAUCUAUUCAAAGUUACUGGAGGAUGAGCCUCUGGAGGAGUCGACAACAGAUUAUCACCUCUUUAGGAAAAACAUAUCUCUGAUAUACCACAAUGAUUGAUAAAGUUUCAUCUUGAGAUGCUUAAGGAUCAAUGUAAUUGAUUUUUAUUGACAGUGAAUAUAUCCAUGAAAAAGGACUACUAGGACAAAACACAUGCAUUACUUACACUUGUAUAAUGAUGUUCUUGACAGUAGGAGAACAGCUUAAUAGAGAAGCAGUUUUCUUGUAACCUGAAAAUCAGAUAGCCUGAUUGCUUGGCAAGAGUAUUUGGUAUCUCAGCAGCCCUACUGCAACUUUUCUCUGUAAGUUUUCUUUAGCCUCCAAAAAAAAAAUAAUUUUUUUUUCCUUUUUUUUUUUUUUUUUUUUUUUUUUACAGGCUGUUAUUCACAAAGAACGGUAAAAAAAAACAAAACAAAAAAAAGAAAAGAAAAAAAAAGUAUGCUUUUAAUAUGGCAGACUGAACCUGUAUGGUUUAUGGUAAUCUGGAGUGUUCACUCCACGUGUAAAAAGUGCAAGCUAAAUAUUAUCUGACUUUUUGCAGUGCAUUUAAUUCAGUACUAGAAAGGCAGCAGCUGGCAGACUGAUUCUCUCCUACCAUAUUAUGAUUAUAUUCCUCAAACCAAAAUCAAGCUUCCACUUCUAAAAAGACUCUUCUCACAGCAGAUAAUGCCAAUAAAAGUACUGAGAAGUGAUGGGAAUAGCA